RNAcentral lists this transfer RNA (93 nucleotides) under Asanoa ishikariensis. RNAcentral describes it as "tRNA-Gln". Lineage: Bacteria; Bacillati; Actinomycetota; Actinomycetes; Micromonosporales; Micromonosporaceae. The record is from RNAcentral.
GUUGCCGCCAGGCCGCACGGUGGUCCACGUCGUUCUGGACGACGUCGAGCCCAAGACCCAACGCUGGUGGCUGAUCAUGACAGCGGACGACGC